CCUACGGGAGGCAGCAGUGGGGAAUAUUGCACAAUGGGCGCAAGCCUGAUGCAGCCAUGCCGCGUGUGUGAAGAAGGCCUUCGGGUUGUAAAGCACUUUCAGCGGGGAGGAAGGCGUUAAGGUUAAUAACCUUGUCGAUUGACGUUACCCGCAGAAGAAGCACCGGCUAACUCCGUGCCAGCAGCCGCGGUAAUACGGAGGGUGCAAGCGUUAAUCGGAAUUACUGGGCGUAAAGCGCACGCAGGCGGUCUGUCAAGUCGGAUGUGAAAUCCCCGGGCUCAACCUGGGAACCGCAUUCGAAACUGGCGGGCUAGAGUCUUGUAGAGGGGGGUAGAAUUCCAUGUGUAGCGGUGAAAUGCGUAGAGAUCUGGAGGAAUACCGGUGGCGAAGGCGGCCCCCUGGACAAAGACUGACGCUCAGGUGCGAAAGCGUGGGGAGCAAACAGGAUUAGAUAGCCGUGUAGUC
Molecule: ribosomal RNA, 465 nt
Filed under: uncultured Klebsiella sp.
Lineage: Bacteria; Pseudomonadati; Pseudomonadota; Gammaproteobacteria; Enterobacterales; Enterobacteriaceae
Description: bacterial SSU rRNA
Rfam family: Bacterial small subunit ribosomal RNA
Source: RNAcentral